Molecule: ribosomal RNA, 465 nt
Filed under: uncultured bacterium
Lineage: Bacteria
Description: partial 16S ribosomal RNA
Rfam family: Bacterial small subunit ribosomal RNA
Source: RNAcentral
GAUGAACGCUGGCGGCGUGCUUAACACAUGCAAGUCGAACGGAAAGGCUCCUGCUUGCUGGGGUACUCGAGUGGCGAACGGGUGAGUAACACGUGGGUGAUCUGCCCUGCACUUCGGGAUAAGCCUGGGAAACUGGGUCUAAUCCCGGAUAGGACGAUGGUUUGGAUGCCAUUGUGGAAAGUUUUUCGGUGUGGGAUGAGCUCGCGGCCUAUCAGCUUGUUGGUGGGGUAAUGGCCUACCAAGGCGUCGACGGGUAGCCGACCUGAGAGGGUGUACGGCCACAUUGGGCCUGAGAUACGGCCCAGACUCCUACGGGAGGCAGCAGUGGGGAAUAUUGCACAAUGGGCGCAAGCCUGAUGCAGCGACGCCGCGUGGGGGAUGACGGCCUUCGGGUUGUAAACUCCUUUCGCUAGGGACGAAGCGCAAGUGACGGUACCUGGAGAAGAAGCACCGGCUAACUACGUG